Long non-coding RNA from Oncorhynchus keta (chum salmon), 1839 nucleotides. RefSeq lists it as uncharacterized. The transcript is spliced from 11 exons. The record is from RefSeq and is a predicted model, not a curated record. NCBI's taxonomy places the organism in Eukaryota, Metazoa, Chordata, Actinopteri, Salmoniformes, Salmonidae.
UGUUGCUAGAGAAUACCCCCAAUACAAUAAUCAGGUAUUAGGAAAUAAACACACACAGUGUUGCUAGAGAAUACCCCCAAUACAAUAAUCAGGUAUUAGGAAAUAAACACACACAGUGUUGCUAGAGAAUACCCCCAAUACAAUAAUCAGGUAUUAGGAAAUAAACACACAGUGUUGCUAGAGAAUACCCCCAAUACAAUAAUCAGGUAUUAGGAAAUAAACACACACAGUGUUGCUAGAGAAUACCCCCAAUACAAUAAUCAGGUAUUAGGAAAUAAACACACAGUGUUGCUAGAGAAUACCCCCAAUACAAUAAUCAGGUAUUAGGAAAUACACACACACAGUGUUGCUAGAGAAUACCCCCAAUACAAUAAUCAGGUAUUAGGAAAUAAACACACACACAGUGUUGCUAGAGAAUACCCCCAAUACAAUAAUCAGGUAUUAGGAAAUACACACACAGUGUUGCUAGAGAAUACCCCCAAUACAAUAAUCAGGUAUUAGGAAAUAAACACACACAGUGUUGCUAGAGAAUACCCCCAAUACAAUAAUCAGGUAUUAGGAAAUAAACACACACACAGUGUUGCUAGAGAAUACCCCCAAUACAAUAAUCAGGUAUUAGGAAAUAAACACACACACAGUGUUGCUAGAGAAUACCCCCAAUACAAUAAUCAGGUAUUAGGAAAUAAACACACAGUGUUGCUAGAGAAUACCCCCAAUACAAUAAUCAGGUAUUAGGAAAUAAACACACAGUGUUGCUAGAGAAUACCCCCAAUACAAUAAUCAGGUAUUAGGAAAUAAACACACAGUGUUGCUAGAGAAUACCCCCAAUACAAUAAUCAGGUAUUAGGAAAUAAACACACACACAGUGUUGCUAGAGAAUACCCCCAAUACAAUAAUCAGGUAUUAGGAAAUAAACACACACACAGUGUUGCUAGAGAAUACCCCCAAUACAAUAAUCAGGUAUUAGGAAAUAAACACACAGUGUUGCUAGAGAAUACCCCCAAUACAAUAAUCAGGUAUUAGGAAAUAAACACACACAGUGUUGCUAGAGAAUACCCCCAAUACAAUAAUCAGGUAUUAGGAAAUAAACACACACAGUGUUGCUAGAGAAUACCCCCAAUAAAAUAAUCAGGUAUUAGGAAAUACACACACACACACAGUGUUGCUAGAGAAUACCCCCAAUACAAUAAUCAGGUAUUAGGAAAUACACACACACAGUGUUGCUAGAGAAUACCCCCAAUACAAUAAUCAGGUAUUAGGAAAUAAACACACACAGUGUUGCUAGAGAAUACCCCCAAUAAAAUAAUCAGGUAUUAGGAAAUAAACACACACACAGUGUUGCUAGAGAAUACCCCCAAUAAAAUAAUCAGGUAUUAGGAAAUACACACACAGUGUUGCUAGAGAAUACCCCCAAUACAAUAAUCAGGUAUUAGGAAAUAAACACACACAGUGUUGCUAGAGAAUACCCCCAAUAAAAUAAUCAGGUAUUAGGAAAUAAACACACACAGUGUUGCUAGAGAAUACCCCCAAUACAAUAAUCAGGUAUUAGGAAAUACACACACACAGUGUUGCUAGAGAAUACCCCCAAUACAAUAAUCAGGUAUUAGGAAAUACACACACACAGUGUUGCUAGAGAAUACCCCCAAUACAAUAAUCAGGUAUUAGGAAAUACACACACACAGUGUUGCUAGAGAAUACCCCCAAUACAAUAAUCAGGUAUUAGGAAAUACACACACACAGUGUUGCUAGAGAAUACCCCCAAUACAAUAAUCAGGUAUUAGGAAAUACACACACACAGUGUUGCUAGAGAAUACCCCCAAUACAAUAAUCAGGUAUUAG